This 64-nucleotide non-coding RNA is filed under the name Helianthus annuus (common sunflower). Lineage: Eukaryota; Viridiplantae; Streptophyta; Magnoliopsida; Asterales; Asteraceae. The record is from RNAcentral.
UUGAGCUGUACGAGAUGAAAGUCUCAUGUACAGUUCUCGGAAGGGGGAUCGCACCUAUCUCAAU